Pungitius pungitius (ninespine stickleback) is the source of this 654-nucleotide long non-coding RNA. RefSeq lists it as uncharacterized. The record is from RefSeq and is a predicted model, not a curated record. NCBI's taxonomy places the organism in Eukaryota, Metazoa, Chordata, Actinopteri, Perciformes, Gasterosteidae. The transcript is spliced from 4 exons.
GUGUUUAGUGAGAGCACAGCUUCCGUCUGCGCUCCUUCAACGUUGUUCUUACUGCUGCUCAAAUAGCUUCGGUUCGGACCUCCACUGCUCUAGAUGGCAAUGACCUGCUUCACUUCACCAAGGACCAAGCCGGGUAUGUGCUGCCCGUGCAGACCCAUUCUGAAGAUCCACUGCUUCUGACAGACAAAGUGGCAUUUCCUGACUGUCCCCAUCCCCGUCUGAGUUAUCUGACACCCCAAAAUACGGCUACGGGGAAGCAGGGAGACGAGGCACCACAGCCUUAUCCUGUGGGCCUCAAUGAAGCGGCCCAACACACACCGUCCACUCUGCGAGCUGCGCCGUCUAUUUGCACGGUAUAGGAUUUGCAUAUCUGCAGCUCAUGAAGCAAGGCUUUAAUUUCCUCCUGCUGCAGAUAAACAUCACCUUGUUGGAGCAGAUGGGUGGAGGCAGAAUGGGGUCAAUGACGAAGAAGCAGGACAAUGGUGUUGGUUCAGGCACUGAAUGGCCAGAAGUAAUAAAAUUGCACAAUUUCCAUAUGGUGGCCAAUUCUAUUUUUCCUUUUCUUUUUGAUGAAUCAGGAUCCAGUGUGAUAUGACGAGAUGCUGUGGUAUUCUGUAUCUGUUCGGGGGGGGGAGAAAUGUUGGAACUAUAUCC